Long non-coding RNA from Eptesicus fuscus (big brown bat), 1063 nucleotides. RefSeq lists it as uncharacterized. The record is from RefSeq and is a predicted model, not a curated record. The transcript has 10 exons. Lineage: Eukaryota; Metazoa; Chordata; Mammalia; Chiroptera; Vespertilionidae.
GCUUCGGGGCGGGCGCGCGGGCGGGCACGUGGGACUCCUUCGUCCCCGGCGUCUGGGCGCAGGGCGCCAGCCGCCACCCCGGCCUGGGCCUCGGCCCUGUGGCCGAUGAAUUCCCUUAGGCACAGGGAGAUGAAGUGAUUAAUUCAAGGUCACAGUGUCAAGGAUGGAAUCCAGACCUCCUUUUUUCCUUAUGGGCCACAGGUACCUUUGGUGACCCUGAGAUCUGGCAAAAAGGGCGCUGGACUAUUCUUCACUCCUCCUUCAGACACCACCCAUUUUACAGAUGAAGCCACUGAGAUAAUGGAGCAACUGACUAAAUAGUCACCACCCUACCUCUGGAGCCUCACAUAUGACUCUUCUCUUCCCACUUGAGUGACUGCAGAUGGAGAAACAAAGCUUAGAGAGAGAACUCUUUCUUAACCAUUACAUUACACCACCUUCAUGGGUUGAGGGGAAGAGACUGGAGAAGAAUUGCAGUUUGUCCAACCUGAGGUGAUCCCAAUCUCUCUGAUGGCUUCAGUUUCCAUCUACACAUGGAUGAUGCCCAAAUCUCUCUCCAACUACUUUUAUGGACAACUCCACUGGAUUGUUUUGCCGACUUGAUAAAAUGAAGUCUCCUGCUCUUCCCCACUUGCUUCUUCUCAUCUAGUGUCCUGUCACAUGCUGACAGGUGAGACAUGGUCUUCUCACUGUAACAUAGUAGUUGAGAAUGUGACUCUGGAGCCAGCCUUCUGGGGCGUGAAUUCUGACUCAGCCACUUACUGUGUGUCCUUGGGAUGCCAGCCAAACAUCUUCUGAGAGUGAGGGGCAGAGAAGAAGCAAGAGCUGAGGUGGGUGAGGCACAAAGAGAAGGGGCCUGUGAGGACAAGGCGACGACAGCAGCAUCAUAACCGUGACAUCUAGAAGGGAUCCCAGAUGGGACUGUGUGAACCCCCAGCCUGGGGACCUCCCUGCGGAAGGCCCCCUUCUCAAGCCAAGGGACCCAGAAGUGUAAAGUUUACCGCGGCUGCCUGUGUUGGAGGUGUCACAGUGCUGAGGGAGCCAGGAGGAGUGCAAGAGCAGG